RNAcentral lists this ribosomal RNA (433 nucleotides) under uncultured bacterium. Its description in RNAcentral is "partial 16S ribosomal RNA". It matches the Rfam family "Bacterial small subunit ribosomal RNA", at positions 29 to 507 of the family's 1533-position model. The record is from RNAcentral.
AACGAACGCUGGCGGCAUGCCUAACACAUGCAAGUCGAACGAGACCUUCGGGCCUAGUGGCGCACGGGUGCGUAACGCGUGGGAACCUGCCCUUAGGUUCAGAAUAACUCCCCGAAAGGGGUGCUAAUACCGGAUAAUGUCUUCGGACCAAAGAUUUAUCGCCUUUGGAUGGGCCCGCGUUGGAUUAGCUAGUUGGUAGGGUAAAAGCCUACCAAGGCGACGAUCCAUAGCUGGUCUGAGAGGAUGACCAGCCACACUGGGACUGAGACACGGCCCAGACUCCUACGGGAGGCAGCAGUGGGGAAUAUUGGACAAUGGGCGAAAGCCUGAUCCAGCAAUGCCGCGUGAGUGAUGAAGGCCUUAGGGUUGUAAAGCUCUUUUACCCGGGAUGAUAAUGACAGUACCGGGAGAAUAAGCUCCGGCUAACUCCGUG